GACGAACCGAGCGAACGUUGUUCGGAAUCACUGGGCUUAAAGGGUGCGUAGGCGGGCUGCCAAGUUUGAGGUGAAAUCCUCCGGCUCAACCGGGGAAGCGCCUUGAAUACUGGCGGUCUGGAGGGAGGUAGGGGCGUGCGGAACUAACGGUGGAGCGGUGAAAUGCGUUGAUAUCGUUAGGAACUCCGGUGGCGAAGGCGGCACGCUAGACCUCUUCUGACGCUGAGGCACGAAAGCCAGGGGAGCGAACGGG
This 253-nucleotide ribosomal RNA is filed under the name uncultured bacterium. Its description in RNAcentral is "partial 16S ribosomal RNA". It matches the Rfam family "Bacterial small subunit ribosomal RNA", at positions 524 to 776 of the family's 1533-position model. The record is from RNAcentral.